CUCCUGACCUGAGGUAAUCCAAUCUCCUUGGCCUCCCAAAGUGCUGAGAUUACAGGCGUGAGCCGCCGUGCCCGGUGGAGUCUACAUUUCUAACAGGCUCCAGCGGAUGUGGAUACAGCCGGCCCCCAGCCCACAUGCUGGAGAGUAAAACCUUAGACAUGUGCAAGACCCUUUAUUUCAGAGUUAAUUUUCGGAAAAACAAGCCUGGUUUCCUUGGAGGAGUCCUUGCUGGGAACGAGUCCGUCCUCAGGUGAUGCUGCCUUGCCAGGCCACAUCCCUGGUAUUGCAGCCACUCUGCCAGAUCGGUGGCAGUUGGAGCAGCACCUUCUGCCUGCCCCACCGUUCCUGCCAGGCUCAGCUGAAGUUUUGCCCUACAGUUGGGGGAAGUUUUCCAGGGGCAGCUGAAUUCCUCACAAGGCUUCGAGUUGAUCACAUCCAUUUUGUGUCUGAUGACCCUGGCCACGCGGGAGGAGCAGGCAGGUGUUUUCUGUCUGGCUAAUCCGUGGAACAGGCCGCUUGGAGACAGGCGUGUGUGAAAUUGCUUUUCACACCGUUAGGGAGCUGGGAUGAUCUCUCAACAGCGUCACUGCACGUGAACACUGGCUGGAAUAUUUUCAUUUUAGAAAGGAUCGGAGCAAAGUUCUCAUUUUUCAUCAGAGAUACACUGGAGUAGGCGGAAGUCUUUCUGUUCCCCUUAACAAGGUGAGUGAAGAAUGCAGGAACAGUGCAAGAAACAGAUUAGACUUAAGAAGUAAAGCAACUUCCCUGACCGACUCAGAUUUAUGGCUUUAAUUAGGAAGGCCAACCAGGGUCAUAGGAAAAGCAGAGGAAUGACAGACCUGGGUUCAAAUCUCAUUUCUACAACUUGUUAAUUGUGAUAUUUGGGGCAAGAACCUCGAACAGACUUCGUCCAGUGGGAACAGUCAUACCAUCAAAACCAGUUGGAGUUCAGUGUCGCAGAACUUGUAACAAAGCCUGUUUACUCUCUACAAAUGAGUCAUUAUUCCUCACUGACAUGGUUUGGAUCUGUGUCCUUGCCCAAAUCUCAAGUGGAAUUGUAAUCCCCAGUGUUAAAGUUGGGGCCUGGUGAGAGGCAAGUGGAUCAUGGGGGUGGAUUUUCCUCUUGGUGCCGUUCUGGUGGUACUGAGUUCUCAUGAGAUCUGGUUGUUUAAAAGUGUGUGGCCCCUCCCUGCUGUCUCUUGUUCCUGCUCCUCCAUGUAAGACACCUGCUCCUGCUUUGCCUUCCACCACGAUUGGAAGUUCCCUGAGGCCACCCCAGAAAGAGAAGCCUCUAUGCUUCCUGUACAGCCUGCAGAACGAUGAGCCAAUUAAACUUCUUUAUAAAGUA
Homo sapiens (human) is the source of this 1348-nucleotide long non-coding RNA. RefSeq lists it as uncharacterized. Lineage: Eukaryota; Metazoa; Chordata; Mammalia; Primates; Hominidae. The transcript is spliced from 2 exons. The record is from RefSeq and is a predicted model, not a curated record.